UUUUUAGUGUAAGUAUGUCCCAUGUAAUAUCUGGGAUAUAUUUUUGCUAGAA
This 52-nucleotide microRNA precursor is filed under the name Callithrix jacchus (white-tufted-ear marmoset). Its description in RNAcentral is "mir-1302 microRNA precursor family". It matches the Rfam family "mir-1302 microRNA precursor family". Lineage: Eukaryota; Metazoa; Chordata; Mammalia; Primates; Cebidae. The record is from Rfam by way of RNAcentral.